Molecule: long non-coding RNA, 8473 nt
Filed under: Lynx pardinus (Iberian lynx)
Lineage: Eukaryota; Metazoa; Chordata; Mammalia; Carnivora; Felidae
Source: RNAcentral
UGUGUCCACGCUUCGAUGACACCUUUAUUUUAAAAGCUGUGAUGUUUGAAGGUGAGAAGGGAGCUUAGUGGUGAUACGUUACCGUUUCGAGGCGAUUCUUGAGGCAUUUCCAGAAGGAAAAGGAAGCUCAGCUCGGAAGUGAAUACACAGAAGUAACUAACUGUAGAGCAGUGACUAACCGUGGAGCGCUCACCGGGAACUUUGGGCUUGGUUUAGGUUGUGAGGAAUUCCUGUUUUCCUCCUCUCCUCCGCAAGCCUGGUUUCUCUUCUGUGCAAUGUACAGGAAUAUCGUGAUUUUGCAACUUUCUUAGCAGCAGAAUCUAUUUUUAACCUAAAUUCUAUCCCAGCCCCACGUAAAAGCAGCUAACAGCAACGAAUGGUUUCUUCGAUCCCUUGUCUUUUAUUUAUGCUUGUGUAUUUAAAAUUUUAUCUCUGGGGAUAAACACCAUCCUUUGCUGAACCCUGAAAACAUGACCAAAGAGCCGUGGAGCUUGCAGGGUUCUUUGGAAAUGCUGUGAAGAAAGUUGGCAACCAGGGAGUUUUCAAGAAAUUGUGAUACCCACGAUCUUAUCUGACCUUUGCACCUUUUCUUCUACAUUUAUUAUUUCUGUUGUAAAAAAUGGAGACAGGAAGGAACCACUUUUGAAUCCUGUAGCCACAGUUUUUAAAGUCCUUCUUGAGCUUUAGCGAUAGUAGGAGAAAACCAGAAGAGGCCAGAAAAAUCAGGCAGUCCUUAAAGCAGUGCAGUUUCUACAAGGGCAUGGCUGCCUUAGUAGCAGAUCUGUGUGUUAGGGAUGCUAAUUUGGUAGCUCUUGGGAUUCAUUAUUCAUUGAGCUGAACAAAUGGUAAGCACCUACUAUGCGGUGCUCUGUAUUUUGACGGUGUGACAGUGAGCAAAGCAGACAGUCGCUUCUCAUGGAAAUCGUAGUCUCCCUUGGGAGAGAGAGAGGCAAUAAAGACAAAUAGAUAAAACGUAUAACAAGCGAGUAGUGAGUGCAGAGGAAGGAGAAUGGGAUAUGUGUGUGAGAUGGAGGUGGCAGAAUUUGUCAUGGAAGGGCCCCACUGAGAAGGCGACAUUUGAAUGAUGGAGUUCUAUGUGUAUUUGGGGAAAUACUGUUCCAGGGAGAAGAAAAGCAAAGACCGAAAGGUGAGAAUAUUCCUGACAUGUUCAUGGAAUUAGAUACAGCCCAGUGUGGCAAAAGCUGUUUGAAGGGAUGGGAAAAAUCAAAGGCAAUUGUGUUGGAGAGUUUAGGGGUUGGAAGCAGGAUAGACCAGAAUGGACCCCUCCCCCCCCCCAUUGGCUCUUGGAAGGACUUUGGCUUUUAAUUUGAGUGAGAUGGUAUAUUGGUUUCGACUGGCAUAACACAGUACCGUAGAUUGGGUUGCUUAAAUAACAGAAAUUUAUUUCCUUACAGUUCUGGAAGCUAGAAGCUCUAGGAUCAGGGUGCCAGUAUGGGCAGCUUCUGGUAAGGGCUUUCUUCCUGGCUUACAGACCUUACAGUCUUUUCACUGUGUCCUCACUUGGUGGAUAGAGAACUCUGGUGUCUCUUCCUAUAAGGGGACCAUUUUCAUCUAAUCAGUGCUCCACCUUUAUGACCUCAUUUAAUUUUAAUCAUUUCCAAAAGGCACUAUCUCCAAUACAGUUAGCCGAAUUAGGGCUCUCACAUAUGGAUUUGGGUGGGAAGGUCACUUUAGUUCCUAGCAGAUGGCAAGUUAUUGGAGUGUCUGAGUUGAGGAAUGACAUGAUUUGACAUAUAUUUAAGACAUGAACCUAACUGCCUUGUAAAUAUACAAGAAGGUAAGUGGUGGGGCCAAAGAAAGAAACAAGGAGAUGUUAAGAGGCAACUCAGCAAUCCAAGAGGUGAUGGUAUGGCUUGGCCAUAAUGGGUAGUAGUGAAAAUGGGGGUGGGAGGGAAGUGGUUGAAUUAGGGAAGCAAUAGAAUUUUUUGAUAGAUGUGGAGGGUGAAAGGGAAUCCACCUUUGGCCUGAGCAACUGAAAGAAUCACGUUACUAUUUUCUGAGAUGGAGGAAAUGGUGAAUAGAGCAGGGUUGGGUAGGAGGCAUAUCGGGAGCUCAGUCUGAGAUAUCCGUUGGAGGAAACAAAUACAUGUAUAGCAAUUAAUAGUAGUCACUCAUAGAAAUGUGUAAUUGCAAGCUGAGAAGUUCUAGGACAGAGAGGAACAUAGUACAAUGAGAAUGCAAAAUACGGGGGCCAGACUUAGUGAGGGAGGAAGUGACUUUUCAGCUGAGGUCUGAAGGGUGAGAAUUUGCAGGAGUGGGGGGAGGGGUUCAAAAAAGAGUAAUAUUGUGGGCAAAAGCCCUCAUGGACUAAACAUGGCCUAAGGAGCUUGAGGCCAGUUUGGUUAAAGCAUGGAGAUUAAGAGACAAGAGUGAUAAGAGAUGACUCUAUUCUAAAAGCCCUAUACAACCAGUAAGGGGUUUCCAGGGAGGCAGAGGGGGACAUGACCAGAUUUAAAUUUAUUUAAAGUCUCUCUAGUGAUUUUGUGGCAGAAGAUUGUGGAGAGGGGCAAGAAUAAGAAAGGAUACAAUUUCAGUAAUCUAGGCAGAAAAUGAUAGCAGUACCACUAGCUAACGUUUAUACGGAACUUGUCCUAGAUUCUGUGCUCGACUCUGCAUUCAUAAUCUUAUUUCAUUCUUACAGCAACACUAUGAAGAAAAUCCUAGCAUUGCCCCCAUUUUACAGAUGAAAAACUUGCUUAAGGGAAAAAAAUGGUUAAGUAACUUGUCUGAGGUCACUCAGCCAAAAUGCAUAUUUGAAUUCAGGGAGAUGUCUUCACUAAUCAAGCUUUGCUCGUUUGGAUUGUGUGGGAUGCACGGGAGAUGACGAAGGGGAAAAUUUGAGAGGUACUUAAGAGGACUUAGAAAUGGGUUUAAGGAAUGAAAGAGAAUAAAGUAUGCAUUUUCUAACUUUGUGUACCUGGGGUUAGAUGAUGGUGACAUGAGUGAGGAAAUGAACAUUCUAAAACUAGGUUUGGAGAUGACUAUGAGAAAUUUGGUCUAGAGCAUAUUGUGGCUGAGAUACUUUUGAAACAUCUAAAUGGAAAAGUAUUUGGCUACAUGGGUUUUGGGCUCAUAGGAAAAGUUUGUAUGACAGAGUACAGAUGUGGGGAUCUUCUGCAAGUAGACCCCAUGGACACAAAUAAGAUCACUUAGGGAGAUGGUGUAGAGCAACACUGUACAACAGAACUUUCUGCAGUGAUAGAAAUGUUCUAUAUCACUGCUGCCCAGUAUAGUAACCAUGAGCCACUUGUGGCUCUUGAGCACUUGAAAUGCCUAGUGCAACUGAGGAACUGAAUAUUUAAUUUAAUUUUAUUGAAUUUCUUAAGUAGCCCCCUGAACUAGUAGCUACCAUAUUGAACAACGUAGAUAUAAUAGGGCUCAAAAGAAGGCCUAGAGUCCAGCCUUGUGUAAUUCCAACAUGUAAAGACUAGAUAAAAAGGAGGAGUGGCCUGAAAGUUGAAAAGAAAACCAGAUGAAGUCAUUCUUAAAGUAAGAUUAGCUGUAUUAAACUGGGCCAAGAGAUGGAGACAGAUGAAAAGUAGUAAUAGAUUGAAUUUAGUACCAUGUAUUAGCCAACAUAAUGGGAGGGUAACGGUGGGGAGCAAGGGUUCCAGGAGAUGUAAUCAAACUGUGCAUGUGAAACUUGUAGAAACACUGUCAGGAUACAACAUUUGUUUAUUAGAUUUACCGUGUGUCAAUUUAGAGACUAACCAUCAGGAGAACAGACUGCUUGUCAAGUGCCAUGAGGGAGUACUCCAAUCGUUUUGCUCAUUUUCCCCUUUUGUCAGAAAGUUAGCCUGUGGCAUUUGUAUGUGCAAUGUAUUUGCUAGUGUGUAGUGAAUGUACUUAGAAUUUUAGGACGAGAAGAGACUUAGGUUAUUAUUCCAAGCCUCUCAGUUAACAAAUGCAAAAAAUCCUAAAAGGAGGCAUAGAUUAUGUUAGACCUACAACUCUUCAUACCUGCAGCUUUAGAAUAUGUGAGAUACAAAGCCAUGUGGAGCCUUUGAAAUCAGCCUUUUUUCUUUUUUUUUUUUUUACAGUGGGUUUUACUUGAAUAUAUUGUGUGUCCUCACAUUCUACGUGGUUUUUGGUUUUUCUUUCUUACUGGCUGUCAUUCUGCAUACAGAUUAGGCCAGUGGUAUUUCUCUUGACAAAUAAAGUAAUUAUCCUAUUAUGGGCGAAAAAAAAGUUACCCUAGAGAAGCUUGUUUAUGCUGUAAAUGUCAUAAUUUUGUUUUCUUACUCAAGUCCCAAUCACAUUCUUAUUUAAAAAUUUAUAUUUGUAAGUUAUAUCUUUCAAAAAAGAGAGCUCAAGGUUUUAUUGAGUUUAAAUCUUAUCCCAGCUAUAAGCCUAUAACACAUUUAAAAUAAACCUGGUCAAAAUCUUUUUUUCAUUCCCCAUUUCCACCUAUGAAUACAUGUAUUUAUCAUAAAACUAAUCAAGGAAAUCCCUUUCACUCAAAUUUUGUAUUGAAAAAGUUAUUUUUCUCUCUGUACUGAUUUACUUUUAAUACUUGUAACUCUGCAGGUGGUGAACAUUUGCAAACUUUGAAGUUCAAAAUUGUUACCAAAUAGUAAUAUAUGAAGGAAAUACUUUUACAGAAUAGUGUAGUGGUUACAAGCAUGCUCUUAGCCAAACUUUGGAUUUGACUCUUAGCUUCAAGCGCACCUUGUCGUGUGACUGGGGCUAGUGUGACCCCUGUGCCUCAGAUUUCUCCUUUGUAAAUAGGGAUAAUAAUGGUAGCUAUCUCCUAGACUUAUGAGGAUUACAUUAAUUGCUACCUGUAUGGUGCUUAGAACAGUGCCAGACACAUGGUAAGCCCUACUAUAUACAAACAUUAAAUAUUCCAUUCAAAAAUAAGAAACAGUAGUAAGUUGAAACUUUUAAAUUGCAUCUUUUUUUAUGGAUGUGUCCUGUUUAUUUUUAAAAUUUUGUUUUUGGGAGGCAUUUAAGUGAUUUUUAGUUUAGUUUUUUUUUUUUUUUUUUAAUGUUUAUUUAUUUUUGAAGGAGAGAGAGAGACAGAGCUUGAGUGUGGCAGGGGCAGAGAGAGGGAGACAGAAUCUGAAGCAGGCUCCAGGCUCUGAGCUGUCAGCACAGAGCCCAACCCGGGGCUCAAAAUCACGAGCUGUGAGAUCCUGACAUGAGCUGAAGUCUUAAAGCUUAACUUCUUAAGGCUUAACCGACUGAGCCACCCAGGCGCCCUCAGAGUUUGUAUAGUUUUAAAGCAUUUGUUAGUAACAUUUUGCUGCCACUUAUUUGAAAGAUGGAAUAACACCCUAGGCUGAGGAUUUAUCCUGUAUUCACCUUAAGUCCAUUUUUUCCUCCUACUGGGUGGGCCCUUUUAAAACUAACUGUUUGUUACUAAAACCAUUGUAUACUAAAUAUAUUACUAAAGUAUGCUAUAGUGAUGUUUUGUCUGUAUUCACUGUGUUUACUCUACUUUCAAAAUAAUAGAAUUUAAUAGCAUUACACACCAACACUUAAAAAAUACACACAGGGCGGGGGCAGGGGGGUGCAGCCUGGAUGGUUCAGUUGGUUGAGCGCCCAACUUCAGCUCAGGUCAAGGUCUUGAGAUUUUUGAGUUCAAGCCCCACGUCAGGCUUGCUGUGCAGAGCCUGUUUCACAUCCUCUGCCUCCCUCUCUCUCUCCGCCCCUCCCCUGCGGUGCAUGUGCCCAUGCUCUUGCUCUCUCUCUUUCGCUCUCUCCCAAAAAUAAAUAAACAUUUUUUUUAAAAAAUACACACCUAGAGGUGCCUGGGUGGCUCAGUUAUUGAGUGUCUGACUCUUGAUUUUGGUUCAGGUCAUGAUCUUGUGGUCGUGGAAUCAAGCCCCAGCUGGAGCUCCAUCCUGAGACUGGAGCCUGCUUAAGAUUCUUUUUCUCCCUCUCCCUCUGCCCCUCCUUCCACCUCUCUUCCCAUCUGUCUCUCAAAAAAAAAAAAAAAAAAAAACCAAAACAAAACAAAAAAAACAACCUUGUUAUUUAGUUUAAUUGCCUCCCCCCCCAUGGAGUCAAAUAUAAUAAUGUAUCCCAUAGCUAAAUUCCAUAUCUAUAUUCCCUUCAUUUUUAAUGAAAAAUGUCUAAUUUUUUAUCUUCUAUUAUAUUCAUUAAUGAUUAAUCCAUUUCAUUUUCAAAAAACUGUAAGAAUAAUUGAGAUAUGGUUUUAUAAUUGUUUAGGAUGCCUGAAAUCUAAGACCAUAAACAUGGAAGGGAACUCCGGGUGCUUGGAUGGCUCAGUCACUUUAGUGUCCAACUCUUGAUUUUAGCUCAGGCCAUAAUCUCACAGUGUGAGAUUGAGCCCCACAUCAGGUUCUGCCCUGGGUGUGGAGUCUGUCUCUCUCUCUCUCUCUCUCUCCCUCUCUCCCUCUCUCCCUCUCUCCUUCCCUUUCUCUGCCCCUCCCCCACUCACAAUAAAUAAAUUAUUAAAAAUCUUAAAAACAAUCAUGGAAGGGAUCUUAAGGAUUAUGUAGAAAGCCCCUACUUUGAAAAAUAGAAUAGUUAUUCUACCAUUACACACACACACACACACACACACACACACACACACACACACACAGAAAACACUUUUUUAAAAAAAUGUUUAAUCUUUAUACCCAACAUGGGGCUUGAACUGACAACUCUGAGAUCAAGAGCCACAUGCUCCACUGACUGAGUCAGCCAGACCCCCCCCCCAAAAACGUUUUUUUCUUUAGUAACAUAUUUUAAUGAUUCCAAGUUCUUACAGCCAUAAUAUUAGACAUGUAAUACACACUCAAAUAUAUUAUUUAAGAACAGGACAUUCUUCCUAAUGGCUAAACUAAAUUAUUCUUCUAAUAAUUCAAAGUUUUUGCCUCUUGUCCUAUUCUUCAGGUGUUAUGGUAACCCAUGAAAUGUAAGGUUACUUUUUGUUUUAUUUUCUAAAUGAUUUCCUCUUACAUGUCAUUAUAGAGCCCAAUAUUUGAGUACAUAAUUAUUUUUAUUACUUUUCUCUGGGCCCUUUCCAAGUAAUUUAAUCUUCCUUUAAAUGUAGGCCAAAACUAUUAGGUUCAAUAUUCCAGUUAAAAAAACAACUGAUGAUUGUAAAGGUAAAGACAUAUUUUUAUAGUUGAAGUAAUUGUUUUUACUUGAAACUGGGCUUUCACAUCAGACUUCAGAUCUGGCACCAAAUGUCAACUCUUUUGAUUGGUCAAAAAAUGUUUUCAGUUUUUUAAGAAAUUUGAACUGAAAGUAUACUUCUAUUUCCACCAAUUUCCAAAGACAUGAAAUUUUGGAAUGUAAAUUAAAAAUUUCAUAUUUAUGAGGUCCAUUAAUUAGACAUUUUUCUAAUUAUAAAAGUAAUGUGUUUAAUAUAGAAGUCAUACGAAAUAUAGAAGAAAUAUACUUGUAAUGCAUCACCCUAAUAUAACAUUUACCUUUUGGUUUUAAACAAUUUUUAUGUCUUUUGUAAUUUUUAAAACUUACCAGUUACGUGAACAUCUUUCUGUAUACAUAAAUAUCUUGCAACUGUAUUAUUCCUAAUGGCUUCAUAAUAUUUCUUCAUUUGAAUUUAUCAUAAUUUACUGAAUCUAUCCUUUUUUUGAAUGUUUAUUUCCUUCCUUUAUGAAUAUAACAAACAAUACUGAAUUGCUUUGUGCAUACGUCUUUCUUCAUAAUUGAUUAUUAUUUCCUUAGGAUAAAUUCCUAGAAGUGAAAUUGCAAGGUAUGUGUAUUUUUAAAGCUUCUGGCAUACAAUCCAAAAUUGAUUUUCCAAAGCUUUUAUCAGUGUAUUUUUCUAUCAGCAUUCUACUUGAGUGCCUGUUUCCCUCCACCCUUACAAAUUCUGAGAAGAAUCUUCUUAUCUUUGUCAAUCUGAUCAGCAAAAAAUGGUUUAAUUUUCAGAUCAUUGAUUGCUGGUGAGGGUGAACUUGUUAAAGUUUAUUAAUCUUAUAUACAUAUAUCUGAAUUGCCUCUUGAUAUCUAUAGUAGACUGUUGAUGUAUCCUGGAAGUCUGGCUUCCAUCCUGCAUUUUUGUGGUAAUAGCAUAUAAAUACAUUUUUUUUUUUUUGCAGGGUAUGGGAAUGACUGCUCUGUGCAGUUUUGAAGGAUAUAAUAUUCAAGGACCUUGCCUACCCCAGCCAAUUGUGAGCACAUUAACAAAUGUACCAUCUGGCUCUCCCAAGAGUUUUGACUUUUGAAUGAUGCAAAGUCAGAAAAUAAGUCCAGUUGCUAGGACUAUUAGCUGCUCAUGCCUCAGUGCCUCCCUCUGGAGAGAACUGCCUUGCCUGGGAGCAGUCCAAAGUCCAAGGCCGGACUAGCUAAAGGGACAGUACUAAAGCCACCAUUCUAUUUGGGACUCUAAUGAGCACCCUGUAGGACUGGCUGAGACUUCAGCUGCAUCCUCACUGUGCGUCUGCUUCUCCCUCUGCCCAGUCCUGCCUUCCUCAUUUGAUUGAGGGUGUAUCUCCUGAGAGCACUUCCCAGCCAACCUUCUCUUUGC